UACAGAGGUCUCAAGCGUUUGUUCGGAUUCAUUGGGCGUAAAGGGUGCGUAGGCGGCGCGGUAAGUCGGGUGUGAAAUCUCGGAGCUUAACUCCGAACUGCAUUCGAUACUGCCGUGCUUGAGGACUGGAGAGGAGACUGGAAUUUACGGUGUAGCGGUGAAAUGCGUAGAUAUCGUAAGGAAGACCAGUGGCGAAGGCGGGUCUCUGGACAGUUCCUGACGCUGAGGCACGGAAGGUCAGGGGAGCAAACGGG
RNAcentral lists this ribosomal RNA (254 nucleotides) under uncultured bacterium. Its description in RNAcentral is "partial 16S ribosomal RNA". It matches the Rfam family "Bacterial small subunit ribosomal RNA", at positions 524 to 776 of the family's 1533-position model. The record is from RNAcentral.